UUAAGCGACUAAGCGUACACGGUGGAUGCCCUGGCAGUCAGAGGCGAUGAAGGACGUGCUAAUCUGCGAAAAGCGUCGGUAAGGUGAUAUGAACCGUUAUAACCGGCGAUGUCCGAAUGGGGAAACCCAGUGUGAUUCGUCACACUAUCGUUAACUGAAUACAUAGGUUAACGAGGCGAACCGGGGGAACUGAAACAUCUAAGUACCCCGAGGAAAAGAAAUCAACCGAGAUUCCCCCAGUAGCGGCGAGCGAACGGGGAGCAGCCCAGAGUCUGAAUCAGCUUGUGUGUUAGUGGAACGGUCUGGAAAGUCCGACGGUACAGGGUGAUAGUCCCGUACACCAAAAUGCACAGGCUGUGAACUCGAAGAGUAGGGCGGGACACGUGGUAUCCUGUCUGAAUAUGGGGGGACCAUCCUCCAAGGCUAAAUACUCCUGACUGACCGAUAGUGAACCAGUACCGUGAGGGAAAGGCGAAAAGAACCCCGGCGAGGGGAGUGAAAAAGAACCUGAAACCGUGUACGUACAAGCAGUGGGAGCACCUUCGGGUGUGACUGCGUACCUUUUGUAUAAUGGGUCAGCGACUUAUAUUCUGUAGCAAGGUUAACCGUAUAGGGGAGCCGCAGGGAAACCGAGUCUUAACUGGGCGUUAAGUUGCAGGGUAUAGACCCGAAACCCGGUGAUCUAGCCAUGGGCAGGUUGAAGGUUGGGUAACACUAACUGGAGGACCGAACCGACUAAUGUUGAAAAAUUAGCGGAUGACUUGUGGCUGGGGGUGAAAGGCCAAUCAAACCGGGAGAUAGCUGGUUCUCCCCGAAAGCUAUUUAGGUAGCGCCUCGUGAAUUCAUCUUCGGGGUAGAGCACUGUUUCGGCUAGGGGGUCAUCCCGACUUACCAACCCGAUGCAAACUACGAAUACCGAAGAAUGUUAUCACGGGAGACACACGGCGGGUGCUAACGUCCGUCGUGAAGAGGGAAACAACCCAGACCGCCAGCUAAGGUCCCAAAGUCAUGGUUAAGUGGGAAACGAUGUGGGAAGGCACAGACAGCCAGGAUGUUGGCUUAGAAGCAGCCAUCAUUUAAAGAAAGCGUAAUAGCUCACUGGUCGAGUCGGCCUGCGCGGAAGAUGUAACGGGGCUAAACCAUGCACCGAAGCUGCGGCAGCGACACUAUGUGUUGUUGGGUAGGGGAGCGUUCUGUAAGCCUGCGAAGGUGACCUGUGAGGGUUGCUGGAGGUAUCAGAAGUGCGAAUGCUGACAUAAGUAACGAUAAAGCGGGUGAAAAGCCCGCUCGCCGGAAGACCAAGGGUUCCUGUCCAACGUUAAUCGGGGCAGGGUGAGUCGACCCCUAAGGCGAGGCCGAAAGGCGUAGUCGAUGGGAAACAGGUUAAUAUUCCUGUACUUGGUGUUACUGCGAAGGGGGGACGGAGAAGGCUAUGUUAGCCGGGCGACGGUUGUCCCGGUUUAAGCAUGUAGGCUGGUUGUCCAGGCAAAUCCGGAUAAUCAAGGCUGAGGUGUGAUGACGAGGCACUACGGUGCUGAAGUAACAAAUGCCCUGCUUCCAGGAAAAGCCUCUAAGCAUCAGGUAACAUCAAAUCGUACCCCAAACCGACACAGGUGGUCAGGUAGAGAAUACCAAGGCGCUUGAGAGAACUCGGGUGAAGGAACUAGGCAAAAUGGUGCCGUAACUUCGGGAGAAGGCACGCUGGUGUGUAGGUGAAGUCCCUGCGGAUGGAGCUGAGACCAGUCGAAGAUACCAGCUGGCUGCAACUGUUUAUUAAAAACACAGCACUGUGCAAACACGAAAGUGGACGUAUACGGUGUGACGCCUGCCCGGUGCCGGAAGGUUAAUUGAUGGGGUUAUCCGUAAGGAGAAGCUCUUGAUCGAAGCCCCGGUAAACGGCGGCCGUAACUAUAACGGUCCUAAGGUAGCGAAAUUCCUUGUCGGGUAAGUUCCGACCUGCACGAAUGGCGUAAUGAUGGCCAGGCUGUCUCCACCCGAGACUCAGUGAAAUUGAACUCGCUGUGAAGAUGCAGUGUACCCGCGGCAAGACGGAAAGACCCCGUGAACCUUUACUAUAGCUUGACACUGAACAUUGAGCCUUGAUGUGUAGGAUAGGUGGGAGGCUUUGAAGCGUGGACGCCAGUCUGCGUGGAGCCAACCUUGAAAUACCACCCUUUAAUGUUUGAUGUUCUAACGUUGGCCCCUUAUCGGGGUUGCGGACAGUGUCUGGUGGGUAGUUUGACUGGGGCGGUCUCCUCCCAAAGCGUAACGGAGGAGCACGAAGGUUAGCUAAUCCUGGUCGGACAUCAGGAGGUUAGUGCAAUGGCAUAAGCUAGCUUGACUGCGAGCGUGACGGCGCGAGCAGGUGCGAAAGCAGGUCAUAGUGAUCCGGUGGUUCUGAAUGGAAGGGCCAUCGCUCAACGGAUAAAAGGUACUCCGGGGAUAACAGGCUGAUACCGCCCAAGAGUUCAUAUCGACGGCGGUGUUUGGCACCUCGAUGUCGGCUCAUCACAUCCUGGGGCUGAAGUAGGUCCCAAGGGUAUGGCUGUUCGCCAUUUAAAGUGGUACGCGAGCUGGGUUUAGAACGUCGUGAGACAGUUCGGUCCCUAUCUGCCGUGGGCGCUGGAGAAUUGAGGGGGGCUGCUCCUAGUACGAGAGGACCGGAGUGGACGCAUCACUGGUGUUCGGGUUGUCAUGCCAAUGGCACUGCCCGGUAGCUAAAUGCGGAAGAGAUAAGUGCUGAAAGCAUCUAAGCACGAAACUUGCCCCGAGAUGAGUUCUCCCUGAGACUUUAAGUCUCCUGAAGGAACGUUGAAGACGACGACGUUGAUAGGCCGGGUGUGUAAGCGCAGCGAUGCGUUGAGCUAACCGGUACUAAUGAACCGUGAGGCUUAACCUU
This 2899-nucleotide ribosomal RNA is filed under the name Klebsiella pneumoniae. Its description in RNAcentral is "23S ribosomal RNA". It matches the Rfam family "Bacterial large subunit ribosomal RNA". The record is from RNAcentral. Lineage: Bacteria; Pseudomonadati; Pseudomonadota; Gammaproteobacteria; Enterobacterales; Enterobacteriaceae.